GACGAACGCUGGCGGCGUGCUUAACACAUGCAAGUCGAACGGAAAGGCCCUGCUUUUGUGGGGUGCUCGAGUGGCGAACGGGUGAGUAACACGUGAGUAACCUGCGCCUGACUUUGGGAUAACUUCAGGAAACUGGGGCUAAUACCGGAUAGGAGCUCCUGCUGCAUGGUGGGGGUUGGAAAGUUUCGGCGGUUGGGGAUGGACUCGCGGCUUAUCAGCUUGUUGGUGGGGUAGUGGCUUACCAAGGCUUUGACGGGUAGCCGGCCUGAGAGGGUGACCGGCCACAUUGGGACUGAGAUACGGCCCAGACUCCUACGGGAGGCAGCAGUGGGGAAUAUUGCACAAUGGGCGGAAGCCUGAUGCAGCAACGCCGCGUGCGGGAUGACGGCCUUCGGGUUGUAAACCGCUUUCGCCUGUGACGAAGCGUGAGUGACGGUAAUGGGUAAAGAAGCACCGGCUAACUACGUG
This 468-nucleotide ribosomal RNA is filed under the name uncultured bacterium. RNAcentral's name for it is "partial 16S ribosomal RNA". It matches the Rfam family "Bacterial small subunit ribosomal RNA", at positions 28 to 507 of the family's 1533-position model. The record is from RNAcentral.